UGGGGGAUAUUGCACAAUGGGGGGAACCCGUGAUGCAGCGACGCCGCGUGGGUGAAGAAGCGCCUCGGCGCGUAAAGCCCUGUCAGCAGGGAAGAAAAUGACGGUACCUGAAGAAGAAGCCCGGCUAACUACGUGCC
RNAcentral lists this ribosomal RNA (137 nucleotides) under uncultured bacterium. RNAcentral describes it as "partial 16S ribosomal RNA". It matches the Rfam family "Bacterial small subunit ribosomal RNA", at positions 355 to 509 of the family's 1533-position model. The record is from RNAcentral.